Molecule: ribosomal RNA, 253 nt
Filed under: uncultured bacterium
Lineage: Bacteria
Description: partial 16S ribosomal RNA
Rfam family: Bacterial small subunit ribosomal RNA
Source: RNAcentral
UACGUAGGGUCCGAGCGUUGUCCGGAAUUAUUGGGCGUAAAGAGCUCGUAGGCGGUCUGUUGCGUCGGCUGUGAAAACCCGGGGCUCAACUCCGGGCCUGCAGUCGAUACGGGCAGACUAGAGUUCGGUAGGGGAGACUGGAAUUCCUGGUGUAGCGGUGAAAUGCGCAGAUAUCAGGAAGAACACCCGUGGCGAAGGCGGCUCUCUGGUACGUGACUGACGCUGAGACGCGAAAGCGUGGGGAGCAAACAGG